UACGUAGGGAGCAAGCGUUGUCCGGAUUUAUUGGGCGUAAAGAGCUCGUAGGCGGCUUAGCAAGUCAGAUGUGAAAACUCCAGGCUCAACCUGGAGACGCCAUUUGAUACUGCUAUGGCUUGAGUUCGGUAGGGGACCAUGGAAUUCCUGGUGUAGCGGUGAAAUGCACAGAUAUCAGGAGGAACACCGAUGGCGAAGGCAGUGGUCUGGGCCGAUACUGACGCUGAGGAGCGAAAGCGUGGGGAGCGAACAGG
This 254-nucleotide ribosomal RNA is filed under the name uncultured bacterium. RNAcentral describes it as "partial 16S ribosomal RNA". It matches the Rfam family "Bacterial small subunit ribosomal RNA", at positions 524 to 776 of the family's 1533-position model. The record is from RNAcentral.